GAGAUUAUAGGUCAGUGGUAGAGCACGUGCUUAGCGUGCGUGAGGUCCUGGGUUCAAUCCCCAGUACCUCCA
Transfer RNA from Camelus ferus (Wild Bactrian camel), 72 nucleotides. It matches the Rfam family "tRNA". Rfam says of the family: Transfer RNA (tRNA) molecules are approximately 80 nucleotides in length. Their secondary structure includes four short double-helical elements and three loops (D, anti-codon, and T loops). NCBI's taxonomy places the organism in Eukaryota, Metazoa, Chordata, Mammalia, Artiodactyla, Camelidae. The record is from Rfam.